RNAcentral lists this ribosomal RNA (403 nucleotides) under uncultured bacterium. RNAcentral's name for it is "bacterial SSU rRNA". It matches the Rfam family "Bacterial small subunit ribosomal RNA", at positions 976 to 1380 of the family's 1533-position model. The record is from RNAcentral.
AAGGCUUGACAUACACCGGAAACAUGCAGAGAUGUGUGCCCCGCAAGGUCGGUGUACAGGUGGUGCAUGGUUGUCGUCAGCUCGUGUCGUGAGAUGUUGGGUUAAGUCCCGCAACGAGCGCAACCCUCGUUCCAUGUUGCCAGCACGUAAUGGUGGGGACUCAUGGGAGACUGCCGGGGUCAACUCGGAGGAAGGUGGGGAUGACGUCAAAUCAUCAUGCCCCUUAUGUCUUGGGCUUCACGCAUGAUACAAUGGCCGGUACAGAGUGUUGCGAUGCCGUGAGGCGGAGCGAAUCACUAAAAGCCGGUCUCAGUUCGGAUUGGGGUCUGCAACUCGACCCCAUGAAGUCGGAGUCGCUAGUAAUCGCAGAUCAGCAACGCUGCGGUGAAUACGUUCCCGGGCC